UCCGAGUAGAAUUUAUUUCUCCGGUUCAUCUUCAUUUCCGGAUUCAAGUCCAGAUCAAGAAACUCUUAUUAAGAGAGAACAAGACUUCCUGUACACACAUACUAAGGUUUUUGUUGGCUAAUUCAUCGGAGGGGGAGAGAUGAAGAAAAACAUAAAUGUUGAAUACAUUCUGAAACUUAUGUAGUUAAUUAAUAUAUAUUUAGUAUUUAUACUAAUUUAACA
Molecule: long non-coding RNA, 222 nt
Organism: Eurytemora carolleeae
Lineage: Eukaryota; Metazoa; Arthropoda; Copepoda; Calanoida; Temoridae
Exons: 2
Source: RefSeq, a predicted model, not a curated record